This 359-nucleotide long non-coding RNA is filed under the name Ananas comosus (pineapple). Its description in RNAcentral is "long non-coding RNA (ACOM_LNC044111)". Lineage: Eukaryota; Viridiplantae; Streptophyta; Magnoliopsida; Poales; Bromeliaceae. The record is from RNAcentral.
CAACUAGGAACACAUUUCAACCAAAGAUUGCAUAAGGAAGUAUCAAAACAUAAAUCUACUUGCUAUUACAAGCAUUCAUCUCACAUAUUACAUUUUACAUUACAAAUUACAUUCGUUUACAUUCAACUUCCAAAUACAAUCCAAUUAUAUUAAAUUUACUACCAGUUUAUUACAUCUUGUUCUUUCAUUUUUCUCUACCCCUAGGCUAUGCCGACUUGGGGUACCACUAUCUCUGGUCUCGGUGGUAGGGCGCUAUCUAUGGAGCUACGCCCUUGCCUCGCGCCGCCGCGCCGCUCACGUGUGAACCUGUAACACCCCGAAACAACGUGGGGUGAGAACUAACUCCAUAGUUCCCAGUG